GCAUUUGCUUGGAAGCCUACUUGUUGUGUAGAGGGUCUGGGCAAGAGGGUACUGCUCUAUUCACUGUUGCAACAAAGCCAUUACCUUCGUUACUAGUAUUAACACCUUGUUCCUGAUUCUGGGCUACCUUCUCUUUCAGAGACCUGCUAGCUUCCACCGCAGCUCCAAUUUGAAAAGCUGAUAUACUCACCAAUAUCAGCAAGAAACACAAGACUUUGCCCUUUGACAGAAACAUAGUUUCUUCUUCUUCUUCUUGUGAAUUAAUUAAAGGCGCAGAGGAGCUUGUGAGAGAGAGAGAGAGAGAGGUU
RNAcentral lists this unclassified non-coding RNA (308 nucleotides) under Hevea brasiliensis (rubber tree). The record is from RNAcentral. Lineage: Eukaryota; Viridiplantae; Streptophyta; Magnoliopsida; Malpighiales; Euphorbiaceae.